AAUAACCAAAUAUGAUACUUGGGCUAAGCGUCAAGUUGGUGAUUUUUCUUACAUCUCCUCCUCCCGGAGCCCAAGUAUCCA
This 81-nucleotide antisense RNA is filed under the name Helianthus annuus (common sunflower). RNAcentral's name for it is "Antisense RNA which regulates isiA expression". It matches the Rfam family "Antisense RNA which regulates isiA expression", at positions 1 to 81 of the family's 187-position model. The record is from RNAcentral. Lineage: Eukaryota; Viridiplantae; Streptophyta; Magnoliopsida; Asterales; Asteraceae.